This is a long non-coding RNA of Pipra filicauda (Wire-tailed manakin), 1092 nucleotides long. RefSeq lists it as uncharacterized. Lineage: Eukaryota; Metazoa; Chordata; Aves; Passeriformes; Pipridae. The transcript has 3 exons. The record is from RefSeq and is a predicted model, not a curated record.
GCCCAAAGCCUCUAGCAACACGCACCCCUGUAAUUAUCCCUGCUCCCGCCUACCCGCCGUUGUAAAUCCCUUCCGUGUUUAGAGCGGGAUUAUGGUGAAACGUGUAUGAUAAAUAUUUUUCUCAUGCAGCUUCGAAGUCACGUCCGGGAGGAGAGCGGGAGCAGGGGUGACAGAGGUUUGUGGAGCGGUCCGUGUGCCGGCGCAGGGCGCGAGGGGCGCGUGGCCCCGCCCGGCCGCGCCUCCGUCCUCCCCCUCAGCACCCUCAGGGACGGGGCCGUCACCCUCCCGAGCCGGCGUGAGGGGAAGCCCGGCCCCCUCCCCUGACGGCUGCCCCUCAUCGGGCAUUUUGGUCAUUUUGCCUUUAGCCCACGUUAAUUUUUGAGUGCUCCUACCCUCGAGGAGGUGGUUUAUGAUCAUUGCUGUGCGUGGGUUUCCGAAGGGUGGAGCUGUUGUCCUGAACGUCACCCAUCACGCAGCACCAACUCGCACACUGAGGCGAGCUCCUGUGGUCACCCUGCUGCAUGGGGCACAGCCCUGACGGAGAAUACUUUUCCUGAGUCAGCCAUCUGGGGAGAGUUUUGAGCUGUAAAUGGGCAUCUUUCACCGAGAAAGGAGCUCCUACGUGCUUCUUUUACCAACAAUACCAGCCUGAACAGAUGCAGCGUGGCUUUCCUUCCCCAGCUGCUGGGCUCUGCAGUCGCUCUUGGAGCUCGGUCCUGGUUGUGUGGAGUAUUUCUUUUCUGAGGUGAACACAAAAAAUAUAACAGAAAGCAGCCUUUUGUAAGGAGCAUUCCCCAGGAUCAGAGCUCUGAGCGAUGCUUGUGUUACUAGUAUGGAGGCAGAAGGCUGAAAAAAGUUCAACCUUUAAAUGGUUUUGAGGCAAAGUAGGAGGUUUCCCUGCUCUCCUACUGUUUAGGCAUUUCCUAACUGUACUUUCAGAUUGGGUAUCUUUUGAAGGGGAUUUAUUGAUGAAGCUAAAGCUGACUUUGAGAGUGUUUGGUGUGUUUCUCAAAAAAACUCCUUGUAGUUAAAUUUCCCAAACAUCUUUUUUCUACAUUUUCAAAAUGAAUAAAGAGGUUUCAGUUGAAGUCA